AUUUUUAGAUUUUUUGAAAUUUCCAGUCAAAGUUUUGGAAAUUUCAAAAUGUUUGAAAAAU
Non-coding RNA from Caenorhabditis elegans, 61 nucleotides. Lineage: Eukaryota; Metazoa; Nematoda; Chromadorea; Rhabditida; Rhabditidae. The record is from Ensembl.